This 468-nucleotide ribosomal RNA is filed under the name uncultured bacterium. Its description in RNAcentral is "partial 16S ribosomal RNA". It matches the Rfam family "Bacterial small subunit ribosomal RNA", at positions 28 to 507 of the family's 1533-position model. The record is from RNAcentral.
GACGAACGCUGGCGGCGUGCCUAAUACAUGCAAGUCGAACGGAAAGGCCAUGCUCUUGUGGGGUGCUCGAGUGGCGAACGCGUGAGAAACACGUGAGUAACCUGUCCCUGUCUUUGGGAUAUCUCCUGGAAACAGGGGCUAUUAUCGCAUAUGAGCUCUUGCUGCACGGGGUGCGUUGGUAAGAUUCGGCGGUGGGGGAUGGACUCGCGGCUUAUCAGCUUGUUGGUGUGGUAGUGGCUUACCAAGGCUCUGACGGGUAGCCGGCCUGGGAGGCUGACCGGCCACAAUGGGACUGAGGUACGGCCCAGACUCGUACGGGAGGCAGCGGUGGGAAAUAUGGCACAAUGGGCGGAAGCCUGAUGCAGCAACGCCGCGUGCGGGAAGACGGCCUUCGGGUUGUAAACCGCUUUCGCCUGUGACGAAGCGUGAGUGACGGUAAUGGGUAAAGAAGCACCGGCUAACUACGUG